RNAcentral lists this ribosomal RNA (468 nucleotides) under uncultured bacterium. RNAcentral describes it as "partial 16S ribosomal RNA". It matches the Rfam family "Bacterial small subunit ribosomal RNA", at positions 28 to 507 of the family's 1533-position model. The record is from RNAcentral.
GACGAACGCUGGCGGCGUGCUUAACACAUGCAAGUCGAACGGAAAGGCCCUGCUUUUGUGGGCUGCUCGAGUGGCGAACGGGUGAGUAACACGUGAGUAACCUGCCCUUGACUUUGGGAUAACUUCUGGAAACUGGGGCUAAUACCGGAUAGGAGCUCCUGCUGCAUGUUGGGGGUUGGAAAAGUUCGGCGGUCGGGGAUGGACUCGCGGCUUAUCAGCUUGUUGGUGGGGUAGUGGCUUACCAAGGCGUCGACGGGUAGCCGGCCUGAGAGGGUGACCGGCCACAUUGGGACUGAGACACGGCCCAGACUCCUACGGGAGGCAGCAGUGGGGAAUAUUGCACAAUGGGCGGAAGCCUGAUGCAGCAACGCCGCGUGCGGGAUGACGGCCUUCGGGUUGUAAACCGCUUUCGGCUGGGACGAAGCGUGAGUGACGGUAAUGGGUGAAGAAGCGCCGGCUAACUACGUG